UUUUUAAUGAAAUAAUAUUAAAUAAAGUCUGCUCCUUGUAAAAUAAAAAGCCGCAGAACAUUAACUGUGCUAAGGUAGCAUAAUCACUUGUCUUUUAAUUAAAGACUAGAAUGAACGGCUUAACAAUUAAUCAGCUAUCUAAGCUAUAUAACUUAAUUUUCAAUAAAAAUUAAAAUAUUUUUAUAAAGUUAAAAGACGACAAGACCCUGUCGAACUUAACUGCAGUUAAGCUGGGGAAGCUUAAUAAUAAUAAUCUUAUUACCUUUAAUUCGAUAAAUAACCUUUUUAGAAAUAAUCAAGUUACCGAAGGGAUAACAGCGUUAUAUUUUUUUUAAGCUCAUAUUAAUAAAACAAUAUACGACCUCGAUGUUGAAUUAAUUUUACUUCCCUGUGCAAGAAUAGAAAAAGUAGGUCUGUUCGACUUUUUAAAAAUUACA
RNAcentral lists this ribosomal RNA (437 nucleotides) under Nesticella sp. LB-2014a. Its description in RNAcentral is "partial 16S ribosomal RNA". It matches the Rfam family "Bacterial large subunit ribosomal RNA", at positions 1831 to 2600 of the family's 2925-position model. Lineage: Eukaryota; Metazoa; Arthropoda; Arachnida; Araneae; Nesticidae. The record is from RNAcentral.